GGGGAUUUAGCUCAGCGGCCUAAGUGUCUGCCUUACAAGCAGGCAGUCAUGAGUUCAAUCCCCA
Molecule: transfer RNA, 64 nt
Filed under: Cavia porcellus (domestic guinea pig)
Lineage: Eukaryota; Metazoa; Chordata; Mammalia; Rodentia; Caviidae
Rfam family: tRNA
About the family: Transfer RNA (tRNA) molecules are approximately 80 nucleotides in length. Their secondary structure includes four short double-helical elements and three loops (D, anti-codon, and T loops).
Source: Rfam by way of RNAcentral